UACGUAGGUGGCAAGCGUUGUCCGGAUUUACUGGGCGUAAAGAGCGCGCAGGCGGCCGAGUAAGUCGGAUGUGAAAGCCCCCGGCUCAACUGGGGAAGGUCAUUCGAUACUGUUCGGCUUGAAGAUAGGAGAGGGAAGCGGAAUUUCAGGUGUAGUGGUGAAAUGCGUAGAUAUCUGAAGGAACACCAGUGGCGAAGGCGGCUUUCUGGCCUAUUAUUGACGCUGAGGCGCGAAAGCUAGGGGAGCGAACGGG
Molecule: ribosomal RNA, 253 nt
Filed under: uncultured bacterium
Lineage: Bacteria
Description: partial 16S ribosomal RNA
Rfam family: Bacterial small subunit ribosomal RNA
Source: RNAcentral